RNAcentral lists this ribosomal RNA (253 nucleotides) under uncultured bacterium. RNAcentral's name for it is "partial 16S ribosomal RNA". It matches the Rfam family "Bacterial small subunit ribosomal RNA", at positions 524 to 776 of the family's 1533-position model. The record is from RNAcentral.
UACAGAGGUGGCAAGCGUUGUUCGGAAUCACUGGGCUUAAAGGGCGCGCAGGCGGUCGGAAGGGUGUCUUGUGAAAUCCCUCGGCUUAACCGAGGAAUUGCCAGGCAAACCGUCCGACUUGAGGCAGGUAGGGGUCGAUGGAACUCUGGGUGGAGCGGUGAAAUGCGUAGAUAUCCAGGGGAACGCCAAUGGCGAAAGCAGUCGACUGGGCCUGUCCUGACGCUGAGGCGCGAAAGCCAGGGGAGCAAACGGG